Pseudopipra pipra is the source of this 2712-nucleotide long non-coding RNA. RefSeq lists it as uncharacterized. Lineage: Eukaryota; Metazoa; Chordata; Aves; Passeriformes; Pipridae. The transcript has 3 exons. The record is from RefSeq and is a predicted model, not a curated record.
UUCUGGUUCUGUCUAAAACACAGUUGUGAGACUUUGGUGCUGAAAUUAGCAUCAGCUCACCUGGGGGAGGGCCCCAGCAGACCUGAACAGAUAAAAGGACAGUGCCACGUGUGCCACGUGGCGUGCUCCACCACCCUGGACUUAAAAGCAGCUGAGGCCAUGCUGGAUCCUGGGGUGCUAACUAUUUACCUUUCUCUCUCCUUUUUUUUUCUUUCUCUUUUUCUUUCUUCUCCUACCUUCUUCUCCUCAGAAUAGAUCGGAAACCAGAACAAAAAAUUCCAUUCCAUGCCUUGUUAAGUGCCUUGUUGUAUCUGGAAAAGUUAAAGAUUGCUAAGUUAAAUUUUCCCAAGCACCUUAUUCCAUUGGAAUGUUCUAAAGCUUUCAAAUAAAAGUUAUUUUUGAACCUCCUGAGAAUUUUUUUGUUUCUCCUGUGCACUGCCCUGAGUAAAUACAACUACCUUCCCCUAAACCCACCCAGUGGACUGGGGCACUACAGACUUGUGAGUCCAGCUGGUCCUUUCCCUUGAGAUUGUUCACAAGGGUCUCAUUCUGCUUCCUCUAUAAAGCUAAAGAUUUUACCCUGUGAGUACUGUGUGUGGGAACUGGAAUUUGGUCACCAUUUCAUUUUGUAUCUGAUCAUUGAUCUAUGACUGAAUAUCCAGUUGAGUGUGGUGGGAAGUGAUAGACAGAAGAAGAAGAGCUGAUGUUCAAGCAAGAGCUAACUCUUCUCAGACAGGAGAUAGUAUCUGUUCCAGUUAUCCUGAAUUCUUCCCUGGGAACAGAUCAUGGCUGGGAUAUGUUCUCUGUGCUACUGCAAGAUAAAUGGUGACUCAGAAAAAACUGGCCAGAGAAAUCUACUACCCAGUUCAGAAGAAAGAGAACAAAACCAGCCUGUUCAUUCAGAGUAAUGCACAAAAAAAUAGAAAUAAGUAGAUGGAGAAAAUCGUGGUAUCUGCUGGGAAUUAACUGUUCAAAGAAGGAAAGUAGAUUACUGCAGCUCUCGAUAAGAUGGAGGAACAGAUGGAUGUGUAAUGCACACAAAACCUAAGUACAAGAUCUCAGCUCUCAACCAGCAGCCACAGUGAAAUGUACAAAAAUCAGGUGUAGCUACUCUACAGUUCUUGGCUGAAAAACAAUUGAUCCAUCACUCUAAAAAGAAACUUCUAAGACGAGUAUUUAAGUUUUCAUCUACCAAAAGCUCAAAUAGAAAGUUUAUUUCUGAGCAAUAGAAAUGUCACCAUCGUUAGUGGGAUUUAUAGUUGCAAAUUAUCAGAUAAGUGAUAGUGCACUGCUUCAUUAACUCAAUAAGAUUAAUUUUAUGCCUUUUGAUAGGUGUUCUGUACUUGUGCUAUGCUCUCAUAUUUCUAUACUAUAUGUGUUGAGUAUUUAUUUGUUCUUCUCGGUGGUCGUAUGUACUAUGUUAAGAGUUCUGAUUUUCAGUAACAAUAGUUUAACUUUCAAGUAUAAUCAUAUAUGAUAAUUUUUUUCUUCUAUACAUGUACUGUUCCCUCAUUCCCAAUAUAAUUGACAUUUCAGUCUCAGCAUAGUAAGAACACAAUCACAGUUGUAAAUGCAUUGUCAGAUUGUGCUUUGGUUUGCCAAAACUGUUUCUAUAUUAAUUUGAGGUCAUUGACUGUUAACAAUAUGGAAUGUCAUGAAUAUGAACUAAAUCAAUGUGAUUACCACAGUGGAAAAAUUAAUCACCUAGCUUGUCUUUAUCGUUUGACUACCAGCAGAUAGGAAUCUAUAAACAUAAAGGCAACUAAAAAGCACCCAGGUAUGCUCUUGCAUAUUUAUCCUCUUGAUAAUAAUAUCUUUGAAAAGAAGGCUGUAAAGGACACACUUAACUUUUUAUGUAAAAAUGCUGAGAAGUGAAAAUAUAUUAAGUCAAUGAAUGCCAUUUACAAUUAAUUUUCCAAUUUGCAAUAAAUAUUCAUAAUGUUAAGUCAUAAAAUACUUCAGUAAAGAGUCAAGCAAUAAGUAGGGAAGGUGUAAGAGAACAAACAAAAAGCAAGGCAGAAGGCUUUUAUGCUGGUAGCUCAGAGCCUCUUUUGUUUCCAUGAUCACCUGCGGAAAAAACUUAGAUAUGCACUAGAAGACAUGAUAAGCGUUUAAGGGGAUUAUGUUUGGAAAACAAACUCAAAAGAUUUUGGUAGUAUUUGUGUUACAAUGGCUGUUUAAAAAACAAACUAUGAUAAUAUAUUUGAAUGUGCUACUGAUUAGUAAAGCCAAGAUAAUAACAGAGAAGAAUAAUUUUGUCUUUAAAAAUAAAAGGAAAGGGUUUGUAAAAAAUAAAUGACAAUAUUUUGUCUCCAGUAGAGACUGGAUUCAGCAUAGGUGCACAAAGGUAAAUAUAUUCUAUUAUUUCUAUAUGAAAUGUUAAAUUGAUGAACACAUUACUCAGUGAUCAUUUUUGUGAUUGGUUUUCAUUACCAUAAAAUGAUCAUGUCCUACCUUUAGGUAUGACCAGAUCAAGGUCUGUGAGUACUACCUAAAACAAAGUUUCAAAGUCACAUGAAUGACUAGCUAUAAGAAUGUGUUUAGGUUUGAAAACAAGUAUUUCCUGGCAGAACCGCUAUCAAGUUUAUUUACUAUAGAAAAAGUAACACUGUAUUUUGGCAUCUGAAAAAUCAAAUAACAGUAGAACUCAUAUAACAAAGUCAUUGCUGCCUACAGAAUUCUUUAGAAAUACAAAAUGACUGUGCUGUAUCA